UGGGGGAUAUUGCACAAUGGGCGAAAGCCUGAUGCAGCGACGCCGCGUGGGGGAUGAAGGCCUUCGGGUUGUAAACUUCUUUUGCUCUGAACAAGGCAUGCUAAUGGGUGUGUUGAGUGUAGGGGUUGAUUAGCGCCGGCUAACUACGUGCCAGCAGCCGCGGUAAUACGUAGGGCGCGAGCGUUGUCCGGAAUUAUUGGGCGUAAAGGGCUUGUAGGUGGCUUGUUGCGUCUGUCGUGAAAGCUCAUGGCUUAACUGUGGGUUUGCGGUGGGUACGGGCUGGCUUGAGUGCAGGAGGGGAGGCUGGAAUUCCUGGUGUAGCGGUGGAAUGCGCAGAUAUCAGGAGGAAUACCGGUGGCGAAGGCGGGUCUCUGGGCUGUUACUGACACUGAGGAGCGAAAGCAUGGGGAGCGAACAGG
This 419-nucleotide ribosomal RNA is filed under the name bacterium. RNAcentral describes it as "partial 16S ribosomal RNA". It matches the Rfam family "Bacterial small subunit ribosomal RNA", at positions 355 to 776 of the family's 1533-position model. The record is from RNAcentral.